AUUGAACGCUGGCGGCAUGCCUUACACAUGCAAGUCGAACGGCAGCACGGGGGGUAACCCCUGGUGGCGAGUGGCGAACGGGUGAGUAAUAUAUCGGAACGUGUCCUGUAGCGGGGGAUAACCUAUCGAAAGAUGGACUAAUACCGCAUACGACCUAUGGGUGAAAGCGGAGGACCGCAAGGCUUCGCACUAUAGGAGCGGCCGAUAUCGGAUUAGCUAGUUGGUGGGGUAAAAGCCUACCAAGGCGACGAUCCGUAGCUGGUCUGAGAGGACGAUCAGCCACACUGGAACUGAGACACGGUCCAGACUCCUACGGGAGGCAG
This 323-nucleotide ribosomal RNA is filed under the name uncultured Pseudomonadota bacterium. RNAcentral describes it as "bacterial SSU rRNA". It matches the Rfam family "Bacterial small subunit ribosomal RNA", at positions 30 to 351 of the family's 1533-position model. The record is from RNAcentral. Lineage: Bacteria; Pseudomonadati; Pseudomonadota.